AGAGAGUUAUGACUGGAGGGUAGGGAGGUGGAUGUGAAGGCUAGUUAAGUGUCAGUGCUGUUGGAAGUUUAGGGUGCUGCGGAAGUAGGUACUGGGGUUCAGAAUGCUACUGAGGAUAUGGCAAUGGGUAUUGAAGGGCCAGUGAGCUGCUGGAGAUGGGUUCUGGGAUAGUUGGGAGCUGUUAUAGGCAUUGGUGGCUUCUGGGAUGCAUGGGGUGGUGGAUGGUAUUGCUAGACAAUAGGGUCUACUCUACAGGACACAUCUAUUCUCCACAAGGGACUGGUUGAUAAUACACCCUAUGAAGUUAAUGGAAUGGGAACUCUUCCAGAAGGCCCAAAGGGAAGAUAUGACACAUUCAACAGACUUCGGGACUUGAUGAAGUGAGAGUGAAGACUGUUAGAACACCAGUGACCGAAGUCAUGGGCUGAAACUGACCAAGUGCACUACAAAAGCUUUUUGAAUUCUUACAUCAUGGCUCUGAAGGAGACAGACAAAUGUCUGCAUCAUGGUGUCUGCAAA
This is a long non-coding RNA of Malaclemys terrapin pileata, 519 nucleotides long. RefSeq lists it as uncharacterized. The record is from RefSeq and is a predicted model, not a curated record. The transcript is spliced from 3 exons. NCBI's taxonomy places the organism in Eukaryota, Metazoa, Chordata, Testudines, Emydidae.